CCAGAAAAACCAGCACUGGAUGAACUAGAUUUUCAGUGACCUAAAAGACACUACCAAGGUAUUUGAAGAGGAAGGAGGCAGAGCUGUGUGUAAUGGGAUGGCCUGCACAGUCACUCAACCUUAACUUGAUCACGCUACUCUGGGAGUCCUCAAGAUCUGAGAGGGAUGUGUCCAACAAAAUCAAGCGCCAUAAACCUUUGGCACAUCCAGCGACAGCUGCUAAGGGAGUUAAGUAUAGCACAGGCUUGUUUAAUAGACUACUGAUCCAUAUACUCAUAUCCAUGAGUUAUAUCUAAGUUGCAGGUAUUGUUCAAAGUGGAAAAUGCCAUGUGCUCCUCACUCACUCAGUUUUAGUAACUGCUUUAUCCUGAACAGGUUCACAGUCAAUCCGGAGCCUAUCCUGGGAGCACCGGGCAUGAGGAAUGUUCCAGCCACAGAACAUCUUCCACUAAAUGUUUGAUAUUGUCUUUAACAAAAGAAGAUUUGGAUGCAAUGGAUUUUAACAGGAAACAGGGCAAGCACAUCACACAUGACAAAUUAUCAAAUUCAAAAAGACUGGAAGUGUUGCAGAACAACAGAGAAGUGGACGCCCAUGAACAUCCAUGCACAACAUCCAUGAACAACAUGAUGAAGGAACAACCUACAUGGUGCUGGAAAACAUGGGACAUCC
Long non-coding RNA from Ictalurus punctatus (channel catfish), 670 nucleotides. Lineage: Eukaryota; Metazoa; Chordata; Actinopteri; Siluriformes; Ictaluridae. The record is from Ensembl.